GGGGAUGUGGCUCAGCAGUAGAGCGCCUGCCUGGCUCUCAGGAAGCCCCAGGUUUCAUCCCCA
Molecule: transfer RNA, 63 nt
Filed under: Cavia porcellus (domestic guinea pig)
Lineage: Eukaryota; Metazoa; Chordata; Mammalia; Rodentia; Caviidae
Rfam family: tRNA
About the family: Transfer RNA (tRNA) molecules are approximately 80 nucleotides in length.
Source: Rfam by way of RNAcentral